AAAAAAAAAAGAGAGAGAGAGAGAGAUUACAAAGACCCUGUAUGGUCAGGCCUCUCAAGAUGGUUUGUCUUUUGUUCUCUGUACAACAACAGCCUGACCAAUACCUGCUUCACCUGUACCCUAUGCACAUGUAUGACCUUCCCAGGUACUUGCCCCAGGCCCCAGCUGGCGAUUGUUCUUAUCUAAGGGGCAGUGAGAAGCGUGCCCUUUGCUGGUUUCCCUGGUAACUAAGGGCCCACCUGUUGUCAGUGUUUCCUAUAACUAGCAGUCUCCCCUCCCCUUCCGGAGAGAAGACUACCGCCAUGUCCUGCCCACUGCUUCACGCACGGUGAGGAGUCGCUCCAGGAUCUUCUUCAGACAUUUAUUGCUCUAUUCUGAUGCUUUUGUGAAAAUAUUUCAUCUUCCAGAAGAUUCACUGGCAGGAUCUUUGGACAAAUAACAGGUCUCUGAUAAAUUUCAGCUUUUCAGAUAUGCAUUGUACACCUGUUCUGGCCACUGAAGAAGGGAAUGCAUCCGAAAGUGAGAAAUGGAGAAGCUGUGUUUCAGACAUCCAAGAUGAGUAUCCAUUGGCUUAAUGCAGCUUUCUUUUCUUUAACAAAUAUUUUCUGAGCCCCACUUUGUGGCAGGCACCAGGCCAGGCCCUAAGUGUUGAGUGAGGAACUACAGAAAGAUUAUUCCUCUUCUCAAUUGACUGGUUUUUCAUAGUAUCUUCCAAAAUCUUCUUUUCAAAAGAUCAUGAAGAAAACAGUUAACUAUGGAGCCAGAUAAAUUGUAAGGUCAUGACUAGGAAUAAACUGGUUCAUACGGCACACUCACUGAUCAAAGAAAGAAUAACUGAAAGCAGCAAGAGGACUCUACCAACUUACCCACACACAUACAACCAGCACCCACAGUAUGUGGAAGAUUCUGGGCCAGGGACAAAACCCAUGCCACAGUUGUGAUCUGCAGCAUAGCUGCAGCAAUGCAGGAUCCUUAACCUACUGCUCCACAAUGGAACUUCCUGGGAUUCCUUAUUCUGAAAGCAAGGAGUUAAGAGCAGCAAAACCACUGCUUGUAACCAUCCCUACUAGAAGAUCAAGAAAACCUGGGUGCCUGGAGCAAGGUUUUGGAAAAUACGGUCAGAGAGAAAGAAGGAGACCCAUAAACCAUGCAGUAAAGAUCCAGGCUUCAUGUACUUGGCCAGACAUCCUGCCUGUGAGCGGUGAGGACCUUCUCAGAGAACCCUUCAAGUGAUGUUUUUCCAGUGUUGGGAAGUACUGAUCUAUUUGUAUUGCCGACAUAAGUCCUUAAGGGAUGGUUAAGAGCAGCACUGAAGGCACUUUGCCCUUUUGCUUUGAUCUGAAAUCAGCAUUAACGAAGGUCUAUCAGAAAUGAACUGCUUAAAUGGUGUUUUCUUAUGUUUAAAGAAAUAACUGGUGGAUUUUUUAAUCAUCAGAUUUUUACACUUG
Non-coding RNA from Sus scrofa (pig), 1448 nucleotides. Lineage: Eukaryota; Metazoa; Chordata; Mammalia; Artiodactyla; Suidae. The record is from RefSeq and is a predicted model, not a curated record.